Molecule: ribosomal RNA, 492 nt
Filed under: uncultured bacterium
Lineage: Bacteria
Description: partial 16S ribosomal RNA
Rfam family: Bacterial small subunit ribosomal RNA
Source: RNAcentral
AGUGAACGCUGGCGGUAGGCCUAACACAUGCAAGUCGAACGGCAGCACAGUAAGAGCUUGCUCUUACGGGUGGCGAGUGGCGGACGGGUGAGGAAUACAUCGGAUUCUACUUUUUCGUGGGGGAUAACGUAGGGAAACUUACGCUAAUACCGCAUACGACCUACGGGUGAAAGCAGGGGAUCUUCUGACCUUGCGCGAUUGUAUGAGCCGAUGUCGGAUUCGCUAGGUGGCGGGGUAAAGGCCCACCAAGGCGACGAUGCGUAGCUGGUCUGAGAGGAUGAUCAGCCACAUGGGAACUGAGACACGUCCCAGACUCCUACGGUAGGCCGCAGUGGGGAAUAUUGGACAAGGGGGGAGAGCCUGAUCCAGCCAUACCGCGUGGGGGAAGAAGGCCUUCGGGUGGGAAAGCCCUGUUGUUGGGAAAGAAAAGCAGCAGUUUAAUACGCCGUGAUUCUGACGGUACCCAAAGAAUAAGCACCGGCUAACUUCGUG